Molecule: ribosomal RNA, 977 nt
Filed under: uncultured Synechococcus sp.
Lineage: Bacteria; Bacillati; Cyanobacteriota; Cyanophyceae; Synechococcales; Synechococcaceae
Description: bacterial SSU rRNA
Rfam family: Bacterial small subunit ribosomal RNA
Source: RNAcentral
AACGAACCUUCGGGUUAGUGGCGGACGGGUGAGUAACGCGUGGGAAUCUGCCCUCAGGAGGGGGAUAACGGCCGGAAACGGCCGCUAAUACCCCAUAUGCCGAGAGGUGAAAUGAAUUUCGCCUGAGGAUGAGCCCGCGUCUGAUUAGCUAGUUGGUGAGGUAAGAGCUCACCAAGGCAUCGAUCAGUAGCUGGUCUGAGAGGAUGAUCAGCCACACUGGGACUGAGACACGGCCCAGACUCCUACGGGAGGCAGCAGUGGGGAAUUUUCCGCAAUGGGCGAAAGCCUGACGGAGCAACGCCGCGUGAGGGAUGAAGGCCUCUGGGCUGUAAACCUCUUUUAUCAAGGAAGAAGAUCUGACGGUACUUGAUGAAUAAGCCACGGCUAAUUCCGUGCCAGCAGCCGCGGUAAUACGGGAGUGGCAAGCGUUAUCCGGAAUUAUUGGGCGUAAAGCGUCCGCAGGCGGCCCUACAAGUCUGCUGUUAAAAAGUGGAGCUUAAUUCCAUCAUGGCAGUGGAAACUGUUGGGCUCGAGUGUGGUAGGGGCAGAGGGAAUUCCCGGUGUAGCGGUGAAAUGCGUAGAUAUCGGGAAGAACACCAGUGGCGAAGGCGCUCUGCUGGGCCAUCACUGACGCUCAUGGACGAAAGCCAGGGGAGCGAAAGGGAUUAGAUACCCCUGUAGUCCUGGCCGUAAACGAUGAACACUAGGUGUCGGGGGAAUCGACCCCUCCGGUGUCGUAGCCAACGCGUUAAGUGUUCCGCCUGGGGAGUACGCACGCAAGUGUGAAACUCAAAGGAAUUGACGGGGGCCCGCACAAGCGGUGGAGUAUGUGGUUUAAUUCGAUGCAACGCGAAGACCUUACCAGGAUUUGACAUCCUGCGAAUCUCUUGAAACUUGAGAGUGCCUUCGGGAGCGCAGUGACAGGUGGUGCGUGCUGUCGUCAGCUCGUGUCGUGAGAUGUUGGGUUAAGUCCCGCA